This 253-nucleotide ribosomal RNA is filed under the name uncultured bacterium. RNAcentral's name for it is "partial 16S ribosomal RNA". It matches the Rfam family "Bacterial small subunit ribosomal RNA", at positions 524 to 776 of the family's 1533-position model. The record is from RNAcentral.
UACAGAGGUCUCAAGCGUUGUUCGGAAUUACUGGGCGUAAAGCGUGUGUAGGCGGUCCACUAAGUCGGGUGUGAAAGCCCUGGGCUCAACCCAGGAAGUGCACUCGAAACUGGCGGGCUAGAGUAUCGGAGAGGUUGGUGGAAUUCUCGGUGUAGAGGUGAAAUUCGUAGAUAUCGAGAGGAACACCGGUGGCGAAGGCGGCCAACUGGACGAAUACUGACGCUGAGACACGAAAGCGUGGGGAGCAAACAGG